AACGAACGCUGGCGGCGUGCUUAACACAUGCAAGUCGAACACGAAAGUUUUCUUCGGAAAGCGAGUAGAGUGGCGCACGGGUGAGUAACGCGUAAGUAAUCUACCCUGGCAUCUGGGAUAACAAUUCGAAAGGAUUGCUAAUACCGGAUACGUUGAUUUAUCAAGAAAGGUGGCCUCUUCAUGAAAGCUACUGUGCCGGGAGGAGCUUGCGUACCAUUAGCUAGUUGGUGGGGUAAUGGCCUACCAAGGCGACGAUGGUUAGCGGGUCUGAGAGGAUGAUCCGCCACACUGGAACUGGAACACGGACCAGACUCCUACGGGAGGCAGCAGUGAGGAAUAUUGCGCAAUGGGGGAAACCCUGACGCAGCGACGCCGCGUGGAUGAUGAAGGUUUUCGGAUCGUAAAAUCCUGUCAGAUGGGAAGAAAUGCUAUAGCUCUAAUACAGCUUUAGUUUGACAGUACCAUCAAAGGAAGCACCGGCUAACUCCGUG
Molecule: ribosomal RNA, 491 nt
Filed under: uncultured bacterium
Lineage: Bacteria
Description: bacterial SSU rRNA
Rfam family: Bacterial small subunit ribosomal RNA
Source: RNAcentral